This 433-nucleotide ribosomal RNA is filed under the name uncultured bacterium. Its description in RNAcentral is "partial 16S ribosomal RNA". It matches the Rfam family "Bacterial small subunit ribosomal RNA", at positions 29 to 507 of the family's 1533-position model. The record is from RNAcentral.
AACGAACGCUGGCGGCAUGCCUAACACAUGCAAGUCGAACGAGACCUUCGGGUCUAGUGGCGCACGGGUGCGUAACGCGUGGGAACCUGCCCUGAGGUUCGGAAGAACUCCCCGAAAGGGGUGCGAAUACCGGAUAAUGUCUUCGGACCAAAGAUUUAUCGCCUUUGGGUGGGCCCGCGUUGGAUUGGCUAGUUGGUAGGGUAAAAGCCUACCAAGGCGACGAUCCAUAGCUGGUCUGAGAGGAUGAUCAGCCACACUGGGACUGAGACACGGUCCAGACUCCUACGGGAGGCAGCAGUGGGGAAUAUUGGACAAUGGGCGAAAGCCUGAUCCAGCAAUGCCGCGUGAGUGAUGAAGGCCUUAGGGUUGUAAAGCUCUUUUACCCGGGAUGAUAAUGACAGUACCGGGAGAAUAAGCUCCGGCUAACUCCGUG